UACGUAGGGGGCAAGCGUUGUCCGGAAUUAUUGGGCGUAAAGAGCGCGUAGGCGGUCCGAUAAGUCGGCUGUGAAAGUCCAGGGCUCAACCCUGGAAAGCCGGCCGAUACUGUCGGACUAGAGUCCGGAAGAGGCGAGUGGAAUUCCCGGUGUAGCGGUGAAAUGCGCAGAUAUCGGGAGGAACACCUGUGGCGAAAGCGGCUCACUGGACCGCAACUGACGCUGAGGCGCGAAAGCUAGGGGAGCAAACAGG
RNAcentral lists this ribosomal RNA (253 nucleotides) under uncultured bacterium. RNAcentral describes it as "partial 16S ribosomal RNA". It matches the Rfam family "Bacterial small subunit ribosomal RNA", at positions 524 to 776 of the family's 1533-position model. The record is from RNAcentral.